RNAcentral lists this ribosomal RNA (612 nucleotides) under Pantoea sp. RNAcentral describes it as "bacterial SSU rRNA". It matches the Rfam family "Bacterial small subunit ribosomal RNA", at positions 75 to 680 of the family's 1533-position model. Lineage: Bacteria; Pseudomonadati; Pseudomonadota; Gammaproteobacteria; Enterobacterales; Erwiniaceae. The record is from RNAcentral.
GGAGCUUGCUCCUUGGGUGACGAGUGGCGGACGGGUGAGUAAUGUCUGGGGAUCUGCCCGAUAGAGGGGGAUAACCACUGGAAACGGUGGCUAAUACCGCAUAACGUCGCAAGACCAAAGAGGGGGACCUUCGGGCCUCUCACUAUCGGAUGAACCCAGAUGGGAUUAGCUAGUAGGCGGGGUAAUGGCCCACCUAGGCGACGAUCCCUAGCUGGUCUGAGAGGAUGACCAGCCACACUGGAACUGAGACACGGUCCAGACUCCUACGGGAGGCAGCAGUGGGGAAUAUUGCACAAUGGGCGCAAGCCUGAUGCAGCCAUGCCGCGUGUAUGAAGAAGGCCUUCGGGUUGUAAAGUACUUUCAGCGGGGAGGAAGGCGAUGUGGUUAAUAACCGCGUCGAUUGACGUUACCCGCAGAAGAAGCACCGGCUAACUCCGUGCCAGCAGCCGCGGUAAUACGGAGGGUGCAAGCGUUAAUCGGAAUUACUGGGCGUAAAGCGCACGCAGGCGGUCUGUUAAGUCAGAUGUGAAAUCCCCGGGCUUAACCUGGGAACUGCAUUUGAAACUGGCAGGCUUGAGUCUUGUAGAGGGGGGUAGAAUUCCAGGUGUAGCG